UACGUAGGGUGCAAGCGUUGUCCGGAAUUAUUGGGCGUAAAGAGCUCGUAGGCGGCUUGUUGCGUCGGCUGUGAAAUCCCGGGGCUUAACUCCGGGCGUGCAGCCGAUACGGGCAGGCUAGAGUCCGGUAGGGGAGACUGGAAUUCCUGGUGUAGCGGUGAAAUGCGCAGAUAUCAGGAGGAACACCGGUGGCGAAGGCGGCUCUCUGGGACGGUACUGACGCUGAGGAGCGAAAGCGUGGGGAGCGAACAGG
RNAcentral lists this ribosomal RNA (253 nucleotides) under uncultured bacterium. RNAcentral's name for it is "partial 16S ribosomal RNA". It matches the Rfam family "Bacterial small subunit ribosomal RNA", at positions 524 to 776 of the family's 1533-position model. The record is from RNAcentral.